GGGAUUGCCCUAGUAACGGCGAGUGAAGCGGCAACAGCUCAAAUUUGAAAUCUGGCUCUUUCAGAGUCCGAGUUGUAAUUUGCAGAGGGUGCUUUGGUGGUAGUUGCGGUCUAAGUUCUUUGGAACAGGACGUCACAGAGGGUGAGAAUCCCGUAUGUGGUCGCUACUUAUCACCGUGUAAAGCCCCUUCGACGAGUCGAGUUGUUUGGGAAUGCAGCUCUAAAUGGGAGGUAAAUUUCUUCUAAAGCUAAAUACUGGCCAGAGACCGAUAGCGCACAAGUAGAGUGAUCGAAAGAUGAAAAGCACUUUGGAAAGAGAGUCAAAUAGCACGUGAAAUUGUUGAAAGGGAAGCGCUUGCAGCCAGACUUGCCUGUAGUUGCUUACCUAGACUUUUGUCUGGGGUACUCUUCUGCAGGCAGGCCAGCAUCAGUUUGGGCGGUUGGAUAAAGGUCUCUGUCACGUACCUCCUUUCGGGGAGGCCUUAUAGGGGAGACGUCAUACAACCAGCCUGGACUGAGGUCCGCGCAUCUGCUAGGAUGCUGGCGUAAUGGCUGUAAGCGGCCCGUCUUGAAACACGGACCAAGGAGUCUAACAUCUAUGCGAGUGUUUGGGUGUCAAGCCCAUACGCGUAAUGAAAGUGAACGGAGGUGGGAACCUUAGGGUGCACCAUCGACCGAUCCUGAUGUCUUCGGAUGGAUUUGAGUAAGAGCAUGGCUGUUGGGACCCGAAAGAUGGUGAACUAUGCUUGAAUAGGGUGAAGCCAGAGGAAACUCUGGUGGAGGCUCGCAGCGGUUCUGACGUGCAAAUCGAUCGUCAAAUUUGGGCAUAGGGGCGAAAGACUAAUCGAACUAUCUAGUAGCU
RNAcentral lists this ribosomal RNA (861 nucleotides) under Setophoma terrestris. RNAcentral describes it as "partial large subunit ribosomal RNA". It matches the Rfam family "Eukaryotic large subunit ribosomal RNA", at positions 71 to 952 of the family's 3401-position model. Lineage: Eukaryota; Fungi; Ascomycota; Dothideomycetes; Pleosporales; Phaeosphaeriaceae. The record is from RNAcentral.